UAAGAUUUCCGUUUAAUUUUUACAUUAUUAAUUAAUGAAUUAAUGGUGUUCGUCUAUAAACCGCGAUUUUUGUACGGCUAUUGGGGCGUUUGGGUGGGUUGCUGAUUCGGUUUAAUUAAUACAUCUUAUUAUUCAGUUUCGUAACACGGUAACAGGUUAUGUCGACCAUGCCAGGAGGGCAGGAAGCCAAUUUCUGUUACAACCAGACUCUUUUUUCAGGAUGAAAUUAGGGACACCUCCAGGAUGGAGAAUGAGAGCCGGCCUGGGAAUGCCGGUGGGGCAGGAGCCUAAAGGAAUGCGAUCACGGAUGAUUAUGAAGGAUCGACCGUCACGGAUGAAAGAGGGAUCGCCAGCAAGGAUUGUGGGUUAGGAGGACCAUCAGGGACAAGUUUUCAAGGACGAGCAGGGAAGCAACAAGGUAGCGGGACUGCUGCAAACGAACUAAGAGGGAACCGAGAAAUCGGUUCCCUCUUUU
This 475-nucleotide non-coding RNA is filed under the name Dickeya dadantii 3937. The record is from RNAcentral. Lineage: Bacteria; Pseudomonadati; Pseudomonadota; Gammaproteobacteria; Enterobacterales; Pectobacteriaceae.